Molecule: ribosomal RNA, 249 nt
Filed under: uncultured bacterium
Lineage: Bacteria
Description: partial 16S ribosomal RNA
Rfam family: Bacterial small subunit ribosomal RNA
Source: RNAcentral
AAUUCCUGCUCAGGAUGAACGCUGGCUACAGGCUUAACACAUGCAAGUCGAGGGGCAGCAUGAACUUAGCUUGCUAAGUUUGAUGGCGACCGGCGCACGGGUGAGUAACACGUAUCUAACCUUCCGUUUACUCAGGGAUAGCCGUUUCGGAAAGAAAGAUUAAUACCUGAUAGUAUGGUGAGAUUGCAUGAUAACACCAUUAAAGAUUUAUUGGUAAACGAUGGGGAUGCGUUCCAUUAGGUAGUAGGG